UACGUAGGUGGCGAGCGUUAUCCGGAUUUACUGGGUGUAAAGGGAGCGUAGACGGUUAUGCAAGUCAGAAGUGAAAGCCCAAAGCUCAACUUCGGGACUGCUUUUGAAACUGUGUAACUAGAGUGCAGGAGGGGUAAGCGGAAUUCCUAGUGUAGCGGUGAAAUGCGUAGAUAUUAGGAGGAACACCGGCGGCGAAGGCGGCUUACUGGACUGUAACUGACGUUGAGGCUCGAAAGCGUGGGGAGCAAACAGG
RNAcentral lists this ribosomal RNA (253 nucleotides) under uncultured bacterium. Its description in RNAcentral is "partial 16S ribosomal RNA". It matches the Rfam family "Bacterial small subunit ribosomal RNA", at positions 524 to 776 of the family's 1533-position model. The record is from RNAcentral.